GCUUUCCACAGCGCGGGGGAACGGGAGGCUGCAGGAUGGUCAAGCUGACGGCGGAGCUGAUCGAGCAGGCGGCGCAGUACACCAACGCGGUGCGCGACCGGGAGCUGGACCUCCGGGGGUGAUCUGGACCCUCUGGCAUCUCUCAAAUCGCUGACUUACCUAAGUAUCCUAAGAAAUCCGGUAACCAAUAAGAAGCAUUACAGAUUGUAUGUGAUUUAUAAAGUUCCGCAAGUCAGAGUACUGGAUUUCCAGAAAGUGAAACUAAAAGUAAGUAGUAAUCUGUUGCUUGUGAGCCAUUAUAGAGUUGUGUGUUUUUCUUUAUAUUUUUGUUACUGAUUAUUAAAAUUGUCUAAAUGAGUAAAUUUUACCAUUAGUUUGUAAUAAAAGUGGGAGGGAAAAUGUUACAUCACAUUUUUUUCUAAUAGCAGAGUUUAUGAUAGAACUUUUAAGUUGGAGCUCUCUUAUGUAAUGCUGGCUAUUCCGAAGUUCGCAAAGUGCUGAGGCCACGGUGAGCAGUCUUAACAGUGGAUUGUCUGCCUAGAUACGUUCCCAGCGGAGAACUUAA
Molecule: long non-coding RNA, 565 nt
Filed under: Homo sapiens (human)
Lineage: Eukaryota; Metazoa; Chordata; Mammalia; Primates; Hominidae
Description: non-protein coding lnc-PCSK6-4:2
Source: RNAcentral